UAAUAGCCCGGAUUGCAGUGAAAAUCCUUUUUUUAAUACCGUAGUGCCAACGAAGGAAUUUAAAAAAGAUUGCAACGUAAAGCCGGAAAUAGC
This 93-nucleotide non-coding RNA is filed under the name unclassified sequences. RNAcentral's name for it is "Flavo-1 RNA". It matches the Rfam family "Flavo-1 RNA". The record is from RNAcentral. RNAcentral also lists the same sequence under 1 other name.